Molecule: non-coding RNA, 23 nt
Filed under: Arabidopsis thaliana (thale cress)
Lineage: Eukaryota; Viridiplantae; Streptophyta; Magnoliopsida; Brassicales; Brassicaceae
Source: RNAcentral
GAUCACUGCCGAUUUAGCGCCUA